AUGUCUGAUAUCUGGAGCGUUGUGGGAUGGUGGGACGAUUGGCAGCUGCGCAUCCUGGUGCUAGGCAGCCUGGGCCUCCAGUGGUUCCUCCUGUUGGCUGCGCCCAUGCGCAAGUACACCAUCCCGCGCGUCUUCAGGACGUGCAUCUGGCUGGCCUACAUCUCCAGCGACGCGCUGGCCAUCUACGCACUCGCCACCCUCUUCAACCGCCACGCCAGGGGCAGCAACUGCGGCGGCGUCGAGCAGUCGGGCGUCCUGGAGGUCCUGUGGGCUCCCAUCCUCCUCAUCCAUCUCGGCGGCCAGCAGGAGAUGACCGGCUACGAGAUCGAGGACAACGAGCUGUGGACGAGGCACACCGUGACCUUGGUGUCCCAGGUCGCAGUCGCCCUCUACGCCUUCUGCAAGUCAUGGCGAAGCUCCAGUGACUGGAAGCUGUUGGCGGCCGCAGUCCUUCUCUUCGUCGUCGGCGUCCUCAGCUUCAGCGAGAAGCCGUUGGCCCUCAACAGGGCCAAGAAGCCUUCCAAGUGGAGGAAGCGCGUCAACAAGUUCUUCUUGUUCGAGGAGAGCAAUUGCUUCACCGGGAUGCCCACACAAAGCAGUGUCGGCGGCGGGGAAGAAGGGGCCGGCGGGAAGAAGGAGCAAAAACCACCGGUGGUGGCCCUGACGGAGGCAGACAAAGUCUUGAUGGUACUUUCGGACAUGUCACUGCUAGCUGCUGCCAAGGAUCUGGUGUCACGAAACAAAGCCGGCAAGGUGGAGGAUGUUCUGCCGCCUCUACCCGUCGCCGAGAAGGCCUUGCCGCGCUGGUUGCGCAGUGCAUUCGCCUUCAUCUACACCAGAGCUACCGUGGUUGUCACUCCUCUCUACCUGCUCUAUCAUCUGUUGGUGGUCCCUGUCCUGCACAUGGCCGCCCUGGCGCUGUUUGCAGCGAGCGACAAGCAACCGUAUCGGCGCGCCGACGUGAAGAUAACCUACAUCAUCCUGUGCCUCACCGCGGCGCUGGAUGUCCUGGCGGUGUUCAUCCGGCAGCUGCUGUACCGGCUCAUGUCCAUGACAAAGGUCCCAGCCUUGUGCGAGACGGUACCCGGCUAUAACCUCGUCGACGCGGCGCUUCGGGAGGGCGACAAGAGCAUCGGGUGGAUAUACAAGUGUGCCAGGCGCAUGGGCUUCAACUGCAAGGGUGGAUGUCUUUCUUGCAGGCCUCAACUUGGUCAACUGUACAAGAAGGUGGCACAGACAGUGAUCGCAGAUCUGGUGGAUGCACAGGACCGUGACCUUGCCAGUUACAGGAUCUUGGAUUCCCACAACUGGGCUCUCAGUAAGGAGCUGCAAGGGCACUGUGGCGAGGAGAUAAAAGAAAGCUUGAGCGUCUCGUUCGACCGAAGUGUCCUCCUAUGGCACAUGGCCUCCGAUCUUUGCUUCCGCUGCAUUGACGGUGCCGCAUUGGUCGAUGAUGGUGGUAAACAAGAAGGAGAAGGAGGAGGAGGAGCAGAAGAAAAAGUCGAAGGACUAGAAGCAGAAGCAGCAGCAGCAGAAGAAGAAGCAGUAGAAGAACAAGAAGAAGAAGGAGGAGGAGGAGGAGGAGGAGGCAGAGGGGAAAUAGAACAAGAAGAAGAAGAAGAACGGAAGAGUAGGGACCCGGCAUUACGGCUUCAUAUCAAGUGCACGGUGGCAAUAUCCAACUACAUGGCGCACCUGCUCAACUUCAACCCAGAGAUGCUUCUCACCGGCAGCAGGCACCAUCUCAUCUCCGAAGCCGUUGAGGAGCUGAAAUCCUCCUCUUUGUCCAAGAACAAGGACGAGCUAAGCCAGAAGGACGUCAAUGAGCUCAUUACCGGCAUACUGGACCGUGACACUAGUAGUAGUACGUCCCAAGAAGUUUUCCACAUCCUGGAGGCAUGCAAGCUCGCCAAGGAGCUGCUGGAGAUACGGGACCCGACGGCGCGGUGGAUGCUCAUGUACCGGGUGUGGCUGGGCAUGCUCUGCUACUCGGCCAGCAUGUGCAGGGGUUACCUCCACGCCAAGAGCUUGGGUGAAGGUGGGGAGUUCCUCUCCUUCGUCUGGCUCGUGCUCUCGCUCAAGGGGGCCAAGAGCUUGGCCGACAAGCUUCAGAUGCCGCCGGAGGCUUCUGACACGGCCAAAUCGAACGCGCCGCCGCCGGUUACUUGA
RNAcentral lists this ribosomal RNA (2169 nucleotides) under Triticum aestivum (bread wheat). RNAcentral's name for it is "partial small subunit ribosomal RNA". Lineage: Eukaryota; Viridiplantae; Streptophyta; Magnoliopsida; Poales; Poaceae. The record is from RNAcentral.